GCGGCGGCCCCGGGGUCGCCCCGGACGAGUGGUGGGCGUACCCGGUCAGGCCAAGACGCCUCACG
RNAcentral lists this non-coding RNA (65 nucleotides) under Micromonospora carbonacea. The record is from RNAcentral. Lineage: Bacteria; Bacillati; Actinomycetota; Actinomycetes; Micromonosporales; Micromonosporaceae.